RNAcentral lists this microRNA precursor (67 nucleotides) under Bombyx mori (domestic silkworm). RNAcentral's name for it is "mir-2774 microRNA precursor family". It matches the Rfam family "mir-2774 microRNA precursor family". The record is from Rfam by way of RNAcentral. Lineage: Eukaryota; Metazoa; Arthropoda; Insecta; Lepidoptera; Bombycidae.
AUAAUUUUCGGUUCGUCGGUCUACCGAGCAAUAUCACCCGCUCGGUGAAAGACCUUUCCUCUAUCGU